AAUCAACGCUGGCGGCGUGCCUCAGACAUGCAAGUCGAACGAUUAAACUUUCCUUCGGGAAAGAUAUAAAGUGGCGCACGGGUGAGUAACACGUAGGUAAUGUACCUUUGGGUGGGGAAUAACCAUCGGAAACGAUGGCUAAUACCGCAUAAUGCAGCGGCAUCGCAAGAUGACAGUUGUUAAAGAUUUAUCGCCUAAAGAGCAGCCUGCGGCAGAUUAGGUAGNGGUAAGGUAAUGGCUUACCAAGCCUGCGAUCUGUAACCGACCUGAGAGGGUGGUCGGUCACACUGACACUGGAUAACGGGUCAGACUCCUACGGGAGGCAGCAGUCGGGAAUUUUGGGCAAUGGGCGAAAGCCUGACCCAGCAACGCCGCGUGAAGGACGAAGUCUUUCGGGAUGUAAACUUCGUAAGAAUAGGAAGAAUAAAUGACGGUACUAUUUGUAAGGUCCGGCUAACU
Molecule: ribosomal RNA, 459 nt
Filed under: uncultured bacterium
Lineage: Bacteria
Description: bacterial SSU rRNA
Rfam family: Bacterial small subunit ribosomal RNA
Source: RNAcentral